AAAUCUGCAAAGUAUUGAGAAAAAGACUUCGUUUAAUUAUUAUUGAUCAAAUUUUCAUUUUCAAAAAAUAAAUUUUUAUUGUUUCAAUUUUAGACGCUUUUAUAUUUUUCGUGAUUGAAAAAUUCUCGUAGAAAUUGGACAGAAGUUUAAUCUAACCUCGUAGUUUUUCGAGGGAAAAUAUCGGUGGAGAAACGGUACAUUUCAAACGAGCGAACGAGUGUUGUAGGACGAGAACCAUUGGCCUAUUGUGAGGAAAUUGUUCGUUACGGACAGUAGUAUUUUAGUUGUUUGGUACGAAACGAUGAUACCGGUGUGCAUCGCUAGAAUUUCACCGAAACAAUUCCUGUGUAUGACGUGUAAAGGGAUUCUGGUAAAUGGCUAUUUUCAAAUCAAUCACCUGGCACCCGUUUCAUUCAGUUUGUGGGACAAACAAUGUUGUCUGGAUUUGUCUUCGACGGUUCGUGCGGUUUUUUGAUAUAUGAUAUAUAUAGAUAUAUGUAUA
Molecule: long non-coding RNA, 502 nt
Organism: Apis dorsata (giant honeybee)
Lineage: Eukaryota; Metazoa; Arthropoda; Insecta; Hymenoptera; Apidae
Exons: 2
Source: RefSeq, a predicted model, not a curated record